GGAUUGUAUGAAAAGAGAGAAGGUUAGCACUUCUCUAGAUAAGGUUGGGAAGAGGUCCCAAUGGCCUUUAUAACACAUAUACAGUUAAGGCAUUGCUAUCUACUCUGUGGCCUCUAACAAUUUGGGGUU
This 129-nucleotide non-coding RNA is filed under the name Phascolarctos cinereus (koala). Lineage: Eukaryota; Metazoa; Chordata; Mammalia; Diprotodontia; Phascolarctidae. The record is from RNAcentral.